UACAGAGGGUGCGAGCGUUGUCCGGAAUCACUGGGCGUAAAGGGUGAGUAGGUGGCCUGUUAAGCGUGUGGUGAAAGCCUGGGGCUCAACCCCAGGUCUGCCGUGCGAACUGACAGGCUUGAGCAGAGUAGAGGCGAGUGGAAUUCCUGGUGUAGCGGUGAAAUGCGUAGAUAUCAGGAGGAACACCGGUGGCGAAGGCGGCUACCUGGACAGAGUCUGACGCUGAGGCACGAAAGCUAGGGGAGCAAACAGG
RNAcentral lists this ribosomal RNA (253 nucleotides) under uncultured bacterium. RNAcentral describes it as "partial 16S ribosomal RNA". It matches the Rfam family "Bacterial small subunit ribosomal RNA", at positions 524 to 776 of the family's 1533-position model. The record is from RNAcentral.